GUGCCAGCCGCCGCGGUAAUACGAAGGUUGCAAGCGUUGUUCGGAAUCACUGGGCUUAAAGCGUAUGUAGGCGGGCCAGAAAGUAGUUUGUGAAAUCCCCCGGCUUAACCGGGGAAUCGCUUGCUAAACUGCUGGUCUUGAGGCAAUUAGGGGUGCAUGGAACUCUUGGUGGAGCGGUGGAAUGCGUAGAUAUCAAGAGGAACGCCAGCGGAGAAAUCGGUGCACUGGAAUUGUCCUGACGCUCAGAUACGAAAGCGUGGGGAGCAAACGGGAUUAGAUACCCCUGUAGUCC
RNAcentral lists this ribosomal RNA (292 nucleotides) under uncultured bacterium. Its description in RNAcentral is "partial 16S ribosomal RNA". It matches the Rfam family "Bacterial small subunit ribosomal RNA", at positions 505 to 796 of the family's 1533-position model. The record is from RNAcentral.